GGGACGGCAAUGCCGUGGCUAAUAACCAAUAAAGCCAUCGCUAAUAAUUUCUCGAUUUUUAGCUAUAGGAGGAUUUUUGGUCAUAAUAUUCUAUCAAAAAAUAUUAUUAUUAGCGACAACUUUUUUGUCAUCGCUAAUAGCCAUCACUAAUGCAUGAAAUUCUUAUAAUGACAGCCUAACAACUUUCUUUAAGGCCUAAGCAAGCUCUCUCUGUAUAAAGGGGGA
RNAcentral lists this long non-coding RNA (225 nucleotides) under Elaeis guineensis (African oil palm). RNAcentral describes it as "long non-coding RNA (EGUI_LNC052444)". The record is from RNAcentral. Lineage: Eukaryota; Viridiplantae; Streptophyta; Magnoliopsida; Arecales; Arecaceae.